This 571-nucleotide ribosomal RNA is filed under the name uncultured bacterium. RNAcentral describes it as "partial 16S ribosomal RNA". It matches the Rfam family "Bacterial small subunit ribosomal RNA", at positions 355 to 915 of the family's 1533-position model. The record is from RNAcentral.
UGGGGAAUAUUGCACAAUGGGCGCAAGCCUGAUGCAGCCAUGCCGCGUGUGUGAAGAAGGCCUUCGGGUUGUAAAGCACUUUCAGCGAGGAGGAAGGUGGUGAACUUAAUACGUUCAUCAAUUGACGUUACUCGCAGAAGAAGCACCGGCUAACUCCGUGCCAGCAGCCGCGGUAAUACGGAGGGUGCAAGCGUUAAUCGGAAUUACUGGGCGUAAAGCGCACGCAGGCGGUUUGUUAAGUCAGAUGUGAAAUCCCCGGGCUCAACCUGGGAACUGCAUUUGAAACUGGCAAGCUAGAGUCUCGUAGAGGGGGGUAGAAUUCCAGGUGUAGCGGUGAAAUGCGUAGAGAUCUGGAGGAAUACCGGUGGCGAAGGCGGCCCCCUGGACGAAGACUGACGCUCAGGUGCGAAAGCGUGGGGAGCAAACAGGAUUAGAUACCCCUGGUAGUCCACGCUGUAAAACGAUGUCGAUUUUGGAGGUUGUGCCCUUGAGGCGUGGCUUCCGGAGCUAACGCGUUAAAUCGACCGCCUGGGGAGUACGGCCGCAAGGUUAAAACUCAAAUGAAUUGACG